AGGGGGUUGGACCUUACCCUGAGAGGUGGGUGGUGAGCUGGGAGAGGCCUGGCUUGAUUUAGGUUUUACAAGGUUUGCUCUGGCUGCAGCACGGAGCCCAAACCGGAGGGGUGAGGCUGGAGGAGGGAAGAGCAGACGGGAGACAGAGGAGAGCAGACAGGCAGGCUUAGGACAGACCAAGGAGCUGGAAACCCUGGAUGUGCUGGCCUGGACCUGAGUCUCCCUGGAAACAGGCCCGGGACGCGGCUGCUGCCGAGGCUUUCUCCGUCCUCCCAGGGGACCGGAUCAGGCGUCAGCGCACCUCCACCACGAAGACAGUUGGGCAACGGCCCUCGGCCCUCCGACUGCUACCCCCUGUGACUGGCUAGGCCCUUUAGGGAAAGGACCCCCCCGCAACCCCGUGCAGCAUGACGUCCUGCCACAGUGUUCACGGAACGGCUGGCACCAGCCCAAGACGGAAACAACCCAGUGAUGCAUCACCCGAAGCCUCCUCAAAUUCACCAGACAGAAUAUUCUGGAGGCUUGGGAGAGGCAAAAUGGUACAGAGGUUUGGAGCACAGACUUGGGAGCCUGUCAGCCUGGGCCUAAAUCCCAGCUCUGCCAGCCACUGCUGUGGAGCGAGGCAGGUGCCUUGUUGCUCUGUGCCUCAGUUUCCCCAUCUACAACAUAGAGAUGCUGAGAAUAAUACAGCCUCCCAGUAGGAUCACUUCAACCUUAUGACUGGUUAACUAAUCCAUGCACAGCAUCCAGAAACUGUGUCCACCACAUAGUAAAGUCUCUCCAACACCGUGGCGCCACUGGAACCCGUGCUGUUGCCUCCACCUUCUCCCCCUGUAAAUGAAGACACGGAAGUCACAGAGGCGGCAGGACACGCCGGGGGCCUCACUGCCAGGGGAGGCUAGAGCCCGGCGUGCUUCUCCCGGUCACACGGCAUGUGGCCCGAAGUCAGGAGACCUGGUGGCUGCUCUGAGAGCCCACAUCGUGGACAGGCGGACUCCCCCAAUGCCGCUUUGUUGAACAAGGGACCGAGUCGUCAGGCUAUCCAGCACUUACAGACAGGCCAGGCACUCUUUGGAGCAAUGAACUUGCGGUAACUUUAAUAUUCACAUCAGCUGCGGGGGGGCGCUAUCAUUCCCAUUUUACAGAUGAGGAAAAGAGGCUCAGAGAGGUUGAGAGCCUCGCUCAAGGUCACACAGCUGAGUUGGGCUGCGAACCCCGGACGUUGAGCCCCAGAGCACACACUCUUAACCCCAUGUCCCCACUCCCAAGACAGCGGGGGGGGGGGGCCCCGGCGCGGGGCGCCCCCGCUGGCA
Long non-coding RNA from Herpailurus yagouaroundi (jaguarundi), 1313 nucleotides. RefSeq lists it as uncharacterized. The transcript is spliced from 3 exons. The record is from RefSeq and is a predicted model, not a curated record. Lineage: Eukaryota; Metazoa; Chordata; Mammalia; Carnivora; Felidae.